This is a long non-coding RNA of Trachemys scripta elegans, 4250 nucleotides long. RefSeq lists it as uncharacterized. NCBI's taxonomy places the organism in Eukaryota, Metazoa, Chordata, Testudines, Emydidae. The record is from RefSeq and is a predicted model, not a curated record. The transcript has 5 exons.
AAAUGGAAAACACUGACAUUUUAUAAAAAUAGCAACAGCUGGUUUAAAAAUAGCAUCUGGUGAAAUAAAUGUGCUGUAACUUGUGAAACUCUCUUGGGAACAUUUCCCUUCUCAUCCAGUCCUCCCCUGUUCCCUAUUUCUUCUGUAAAGAGAAAUCCCAAGGCAGAUCCCUCUGUAGAAUGACAGACUAAAUCAGUACUUUGUACAUGGCAGAGAAUGAGUUUUGGCUAUUUUAAUUUAAUUUUAUUUUUAAUGUAUUUAUUUUUGAGACUCCGUGCCAGUGAGGGGGGCAAAUUCCCAUUUUGCUGAGCCUCAUGCCCAGGGAUUGGGAAAGUCAAAUUAGAAGUUUCCUUUUUUUUUUUUUUUCUUUCUUUCUUUAUUCAGUUUUACUGAGUUUAUCUUUGUUUUUUAAAGACCUUCUUUUGCUUUUAUCAAAUCAGUUUUGAAUGUUCUUUUCCUGUUCCAACCUCCCCUGUACUGGCCACAAGCAGCCAGACAGAUGGAUUAUAAAUCUUCAACAGAUUUGCAGAUCUGUGAAUCUUAAGAGCAGCAGCUUCCCUGGCAGCUCCUCCAAAGGGAGGUUUUGAGGUGCAGUGGCGUUCUACUGUGUUUCCUACAGAUGAGAAGGUGCAGGCUCUUCUCCAGGAGACUUGUGUGAUGGCAAAAGGGAAGCCACUCAACUGUGCGAUAGAAAAAGGACGAAGAGACCUUGAAUAGCUCUUUUCUUUGGAGCAGGGGACUGACUUCUUUCCUGAGGGGAUUAGGGGAUCAAGGAAUGAGAUGGUUCCAGAAAAUGGAUCAGGGAAGGGGCAGGAGGAAGGUUAUGGGCAGGAUUCAGUUAAGGAAAGACAGGAGACUUAGGGAUAUUCUUGGCUCUGAUGAGCGUGGAAGGAUUUGCAGCUUUUUUGAAAUCUCUCGCAGCCCUGGUUGUAAACAUGGUGCUUGUUUUGACUGGACUAGAUAACUGAGGCAGAAAUAUUUAGAAAUCACAGACAGAUAGACCUGUUAUUGAAGCUGUUCUAGCUGACUGGGGGUUGAGAAAAGUGAAGUUUUAGUUUAGAGAUUACAGUAACUUUCUUAAUUUUCUACCAAAACAUCUAGAGCAUUCAACCCCUUUUCAUAACCCAGAGCAUGUUGUGCAAAGAUUAGGCACUGCCCCUUGUGGACUGAAGCUAUCAAGAGUGCAGUGAAAAUGGAAGGGAUGAGUUGGACCAAUGUCUACAUGAAACUUUUUACAGAUUUUCAGUUACCCACUGGGAUUCUCACUUAAUCACAUGAUUCCAGAAGCUGGGGCAUUAAGAGAAACACAAAACACUGAGACUUGCCAACGCUGCAAAGAGAAAUUGAGCCUGCAGAAAGAUUUGGGCUUAAUACUUGGACCUGUUCAGAACUGGUGGGAACUAGUCCACUCUUCUCUCUCUUUAUGGACACAGCUGUUGUUCUGCCUCUCCAAUGAGGGUGACCUCCUGAAUUUCAAGGAGAUGCACAACUACAAAAAGGGGAAGAGUACAGAUAACUAACUUCAUGUACAACAGUCAUCGUAGAAUGGCCUAGCUUGGGGUUGGGCCUGAGACCCUUUGCUCACAUGCGUUUGCAAGACUGGAGCUUUGUACAGACAUGUGUGUGUUCUUCCGUGUUUCACAUUUUGCAAGCAAACAGGAGGAGUUCAGAUAUAAUCACCAUUUUCAUUAUAAACCUGCAGUGGCAAAUGCAAAACUGUACAUGCAUGUCUAAAUGAAUGAAAUACAUCACUAAUGAGAGGAUAUUAAUUGAAGGCUUAAAGGCAAAACUGUCACUGUGGCCGUAGGAAAAAUGUUGGUUCUAGAGACAAAGAUGGAACAGGAGAAGAUUGAAAAGUGAAUGAAGGAACAAACUCCAAGCACAGUCAUUGAAUAAAAAGUGAGAUUUCUUCAAGUACAGCAAAGCAAUGACUGCUCCAUUGAAUUCAGCAAACCUCUCACACCUACAUCAACUUUCUGGGAGCACCGGUCAAUCAUGAGAAAGUCCCGAUUCAUCAAUAAUAGUCCAUUUAGAAUUUUUUGAAGACUGUCAUUUUAUUACCAGAAUUUAUUUGCUAGGAAGUAUUUAAAAUUAUUUAAGCCCAAUCAUAUAUUUGUGACUAUAUUUAUUUAUGCCACUGUUCUCAAUGUGUGUUAGGGAAUUCCUUUCCUGUAUUUCACUGUAGCUGUAUGGAAUCUACAGGAAUUUACUGUUCAUGCCUCUGCCUGCUUUCUGGUAAUGUGCCCUCUUUGUCAUAUGAUACCUUUCUUCACUUGUAUUAAAAAUGUUCAGCUCUUGUAAAUGUGACCUCCAGUCUUAUAGUCUGAAAUCUACAAUUCAGUUGUAAUGCCAGCCAUAAAGGGCCCACUUUUCAGGACUGUCUCACUUGCAUGUAUUGUUACCAUCACUGCAUGCAUUAUUGUGGCAAUUGUAUGACAAAUUAGGCAUGCAUUUUGGAGCCUAUAAUUGAACAUGUGUAAUUUUUGAAAAUCGAGGCCUAAAAUAAGGUGGGGUUUUUUUAUUUAUUUAUUUUGUUAAAAAUGUUUCACUGCAAAAGUUUUACAUGAAUGCAUCCUAUAUUUAAAAGGGUGUUAUAUAUAUACACACACACACACACACCAUUAGAUUCUAAUGUCCUUAUUAUUUAGAAACAAUAAGAAUAUUAUAAAGCUGCCCAGAAGUAUAGAGCAAGGAAAUGUGCUAUUACAUCUGUGAUUAAAGAGGCAUGUGGCUAGUGAGUGGAAUGAACUGUCAGAGAGUGUUGAAGAGAAAGGAGUGAAGUUGUGAACUAGUGUUUGCAGCUUAGUUUUCUGGAAUCUAGAAAUUUCUGGAAGGUGAGAAGGGUAUCCCAUACAAUGUUCUAUAGAAAUCUGUCUUGUUCAUCUUAACUUUUAAGUCUUCGUAGUGAUGGAUUUGCUUGGUAUUUUUCAUUCUAACUGUAGUAGACAUGAAAGCUGCUGAUCAGUGCUACAACCUGGAGUUGAAUGUUUUGCAAUUACCAAACAUCCGUGUAAAAAUGUAUCUGACUCUAUGGGCCUGAUUCUCAUUUGCACUGAAGUCUCUCUAUAAUGAAAAUUAUACAUGCAUAAAGUUGAAAGAGGUGGAAGGAAACAAAUAUAUUUCUUCUGAAGUAAAAUGUAAAUUAUUGUCAAGAAUUUAUAGACAGGAUUCAUGCUCAUCUCAAAAUGUGUGGUCCUUUCUGGCCAGCUCAGCACCAGUGCACUGGGCUUUUAGCACAUUAGGACUGAUUUGAUUGAAACUUCAUAAGAAGUUAGGUGGUGAAAAAACAAGUAAGUUGGUUAAAGUGCAUGAGUAUCUAUAAGCAGAUACAGAAGAAUUGCAGGCCUAACUAAUUAGUGAGCUGGGAUUUGGUUACUGUGUUUGACUUACAGAAUUGCAAGUUUUUCAUUCUGGACAAUAGGUGUAUGCUCUUGUGUGUCUGAGGAAUAACUAUGCUUACAAAGCAAAUCACAUACUAGGUGUUUUGAGUUUCAUUUCAUAAAGGCUUUGUGAGGAUUUUUUCAUUGAGUAUUUUCACUGCAUUAAAACAAACAGUGGGCUUUUCAGAUGAGUGGAAAUCACAGCCACCUUGCCACAGCGUGGCAAUCACUUUUUGUGCUUUGUUUGAGGAAGGGAAAAUGUCAUCCUUAAAGUAUAAUUAAAUACAAUAAUAAACAGGAAAUUGAUCCCAAAAGUCUGAUUCUCUUUGUUUUAAGAAAGUCUGUAUCUCUUGUGAGGAUAUUGAGACUCUAAAACACCUAUUUAGUGUAACAGUUGCAAAAUAAGUAAGGUAGUCAGUCAUACCAUUGGCUUUUAUAGUCCAGCUGGUUACUUGCCAAUGUAAACAACAACUUAAAGGCUUAUUUUUACUAGAAUUUAUUUUCAUGUGCAUUUCAAAUAUAGUCUGAUGUGAACCAUUCCAAUGUAUCCCUAAUUGCCAAGAGGAAUAACUAUUUAACUACUUAUUGGAAUAAUGUUGUUGUUUAUAAAAGAAACUGACCCAAAUUGUCAUCUCUAACGAUAGAAUAAACCUCCUCUUCUACUUUAUUCAUUUUCUUCUUCCAGGGUUACUCUUAGAAAAGGAAAACAGAAUAUUUCCUUUUAUUUUUUUUAAACACAGAGAUUAAAUCUAUGAUUCUUUUCUCUGAAUAGCCUUGCAGCCCACUGUAUUGUCUGUUGUUGAGUCAGAUUACACACUGUACAGUAGUCAAGUCUUUAAACCAUUGCAUCAUUAAAUAACAGUAAGUACU